RNAcentral lists this long non-coding RNA (647 nucleotides) under Olea europaea (common olive). RNAcentral's name for it is "long non-coding RNA (OEUR_LNC013907)". Lineage: Eukaryota; Viridiplantae; Streptophyta; Magnoliopsida; Lamiales; Oleaceae. The record is from RNAcentral.
CGUCUUGAUUUGCCACAAAGAAAAUAUACUGUGGCGAUCCAAAAAUAGAAUCUCAAAUUUCUUAGUAUCCAUUCCUGAAUCAAUUAACAUUGUUUCAACCUCGAUUUAAUAUCCGAUUUGAACCUCUCAAGAACCCACCAAAAAACCUUCAACUCUGAUAUCAAUUUGUUGAGAAUUUGGCCAAAUAAUAAGACAAGAAAUAAGGGCAAAAUGAAAAUAAUAGAUCACACGACAAACAAGAUUUUUGCAGAAGAGGAGAUGAAUUGAUCAUAUCGAGAAACUAAAAUUGUUUUACAAGAUUUGAUACCCUCAAUCUAAAUCUAAACAAUUCUCUCAAAUUUCUAAUGUAUACAAUAAUGAUCUAAUUGUUAUGUCGAAUCUAUAAAGAGCCUACACCUCAUGGAAUAUUUAUGAGAGCCAAAUUUUGGAAUUACGAAUGAAGUAGAGUCCUUAAUCUCAAAGUCUUUAUCACAAUCAAACUCUCAAUCUAUGAUAGAAUUUGAUCCCUUAUCUAUUCAGACUUCUAAACCAAAUUUAUCUAAGCUUCCUCCAUGAACUACAAUUCCAAAUCACAGAGAAUUUGAGUCACAACCUAAAUUUCUAUUUUCUGUUGUUAUUUGUUUGACUUUACCAAAAUAAAAGGAUUG